RNAcentral lists this ribosomal RNA (685 nucleotides) under Streptomyces sp. RNAcentral describes it as "bacterial SSU rRNA". It matches the Rfam family "Bacterial small subunit ribosomal RNA", at positions 329 to 1021 of the family's 1533-position model. The record is from RNAcentral. Lineage: Bacteria; Bacillati; Actinomycetota; Actinomycetes; Kitasatosporales; Streptomycetaceae.
CCUUUUACUCCUACGGGAGGCAGCAGUGGGGAAUAUGCCACAAUGGGCGCAAGCCUGAUGGCAGCGACGCCGCGUGAGGGAUGACGGCCUUCGGGUUGUAAACCUCUUUCAGCAGGGAAGAAGCGAAAGUGACGGUACCUGCAGAAGAAGCGCCGGCUAACUACGUGCCAGCAGCCGCGGUAAUACGUAGGGCGCGAGCGUUGUCCCGAAUUAUUGGGCGUAAAGAGCUCGUAGGCGGCUUGUCGCGUCGGUUGUGAAAGCCCGGGGCUUAACCCCGGGUCUGCAGUCGAUACGGGCAGGCUAGAGUUCGGUAGGGGAGAUCGGAAUUCCUGGUGUAGCGGUGAAAUGCGCAGAUAUCAGGAGGAACCACCGGUGGCGAAGGCGGAUCUCUGGGCCGAUACUGACGCUGAGGAGCGAAAGCGUGGGGAGCGAACAGGAUUAGAUACCCUGGUAGUCCACGCCGUAAACGGUGGGCACUAGGUGUGGGCGACAUUCCACGUCGUCCGUGCCGCAGCUAACGCAUUAAGUGCCCCGCCUGGGGAGUACGGCCGCAAGGCUAAAACUCAAAGGAAUUGACGGGGGCCCGCACAAGCGGCGGAGCAUGUGGCUUAAUUUGACGCAACGCGAAGAACCUUACCAAGGCUUGACAUACACCGGAAAACCCUGGAGACCACGGGCCCCCCCC